UACAGGGGGCUCGAGCGUUAGUCGGAAUCACUGGGCUUAAAGGGUGCGUAGGCGGCCCGCCAAGUGCUUUGUGAAAUCCCACAGCUCAACUGUGGAACAGCAGGGCAAACUGGCGGGCUUGAGGCAGGUAGGGGCCGGAAGAACAGUUGGUGGAGCGGUGAAAUGCGUAGAUAUCAACUGGAAUGCCGAUGGGGAAGCCGUCCGGCUGGGCCUGUCCUGACGCUGAGGCACGAAAGCGUGGGGAGCAAACAGG
RNAcentral lists this ribosomal RNA (253 nucleotides) under uncultured bacterium. Its description in RNAcentral is "partial 16S ribosomal RNA". It matches the Rfam family "Bacterial small subunit ribosomal RNA", at positions 524 to 776 of the family's 1533-position model. The record is from RNAcentral.